CACGUGAGGCCUCCGUGGCGACCUGACCCCGGCAGAGGGUGCUGGCGCUUCCUGCUGGACGGAGGGAGUUUCUGCAAUCAGAAUUAUCUUUUCAGGACAAAGCUUCGACCUGAGACCUUUCCAAGAAGUCUUAAAUUGAGCACAUUUACAAGAUGCAGGCUAAGGAUUUGAAUGCGUUUCACUUUUGCUGGACAGUUCUGCGCAAAUAAGUUUUAGCAAGAUCCCCAGAGAAGAGUUGCUGAUGCUACUUGGGAAUGCAUCUGUCCCCAGAGGCUGGAAGAUCAACGGAAGGAGGGAGAAAUGUUGU
RNAcentral lists this long non-coding RNA (307 nucleotides) under Piliocolobus tephrosceles (Ugandan red Colobus). RNAcentral describes it as "lncRNA (ENSPTEG00000015933.1)". Lineage: Eukaryota; Metazoa; Chordata; Mammalia; Primates; Cercopithecidae. The record is from RNAcentral.